GGUCCCAUCGUCUAGUGGCCUAGGACACCGGCCUCUCACGCCGGAAACCGGGGUUCGAGUCCCCGUGGGACCGCCA
This 76-nucleotide transfer RNA is filed under the name Thermosulfuriphilus ammonigenes. RNAcentral's name for it is "tRNA-Glu". It matches the Rfam family "tRNA". Rfam says of the family: Transfer RNA (tRNA) molecules are approximately 80 nucleotides in length. Their secondary structure includes four short double-helical elements and three loops (D, anti-codon, and T loops). Further hydrogen bonds mediate the characteristic L-shaped molecular structure. tRNAs have two regions of fundamental functional importance: the anti-codon, which is responsible for specific mRNA codon recognition, and the 3' end, to which the tRNAs corresponding amino acid is attached (by aminoacyl-tRNA synthetases). tRNAs cope with the degeneracy of the genetic code in two manners: having more than one tRNA (with a specific anti-codon) for a particular amino acid; and 'wobble' base-pairing, i.e. permitting non-standard base-pairing at the 3rd anti-codon position. Lineage: Bacteria; Pseudomonadati; Thermodesulfobacteriota; Thermodesulfobacteria; Thermodesulfobacteriales; Thermodesulfobacteriaceae. The record is from RNAcentral.